GCCCUUAGCUCAGCUGGAUAGAGCGUCCCCCUCCUAAGGGGAAGGUCUCAGGUUCGAAUCCUGAAGGGC
Molecule: transfer RNA, 69 nt
Filed under: Oleiphilus sp. HI0078
Lineage: Bacteria; Pseudomonadati; Pseudomonadota; Gammaproteobacteria; Oceanospirillales; Oleiphilaceae
Description: tRNA-Arg
Rfam family: tRNA
About the family: Transfer RNA (tRNA) molecules are approximately 80 nucleotides in length. Their secondary structure includes four short double-helical elements and three loops (D, anti-codon, and T loops). Further hydrogen bonds mediate the characteristic L-shaped molecular structure. tRNAs have two regions of fundamental functional importance: the anti-codon, which is responsible for specific mRNA codon recognition, and the 3' end, to which the tRNAs corresponding amino acid is attached (by aminoacyl-tRNA synthetases). tRNAs cope with the degeneracy of the genetic code in two manners: having more than one tRNA (with a specific anti-codon) for a particular amino acid; and 'wobble' base-pairing, i.e. permitting non-standard base-pairing at the 3rd anti-codon position.
Source: RNAcentral